CGUGCCGCUCUGCAUCAGUGAACUGAAGAGUCAUACGUUGGACAGCUUUGUUCAAAGGGUUCCAGGAUGUUCGGUUGUUCAAGCAGCUGAGUUCACAAACAGCAUUUUAAAUAUUCUACCUCAGAUUUGAAACUUAUAAUUUGAAUGUAUAAAAGGCAGUAUUCUCUGGUUUGCCUUAACUUUUCUAUUUAAAGCUAAUGAAUAUUUUUUUACUCUUUUGUGUUAGCACUGAAAAAAGCAAGGAAUUUGUUGCACCUUAGACUUAGAUUUUAUUGUAUAAAAUGCAGUAUUUACUAUUUUGUCUAAACUUGUUUUAUUUUUAAAUCAAGUAUUUUCUUUAUUUAUCUUUUCUGUUUGAACUUUAGAACAAAAAAGCAAGAGAUUUGCUGUACUACUGAUUUGAAACUUUACUGGAGGUUUAAUGUUAUUGCGUUAUUAUCAAUAAAAUGUUAGAGUUAAAUGA
This is a long non-coding RNA of Xiphophorus hellerii (green swordtail), 463 nucleotides long. RefSeq lists it as uncharacterized. NCBI's taxonomy places the organism in Eukaryota, Metazoa, Chordata, Actinopteri, Cyprinodontiformes, Poeciliidae. The transcript is spliced from 3 exons. The record is from RefSeq and is a predicted model, not a curated record.